RNAcentral lists this ribosomal RNA (253 nucleotides) under uncultured bacterium. RNAcentral's name for it is "partial 16S ribosomal RNA". It matches the Rfam family "Bacterial small subunit ribosomal RNA", at positions 524 to 776 of the family's 1533-position model. The record is from RNAcentral. RNAcentral also lists the same sequence under 1 other name.
GACAGAGGCCACAAGCGUUAGGCGGAAUCACUGGGCUUAAAGCGUGUGUAGGUGGAUGUCUAAGUACCUUGUGAAAUCCCACGGCUCACCCGUGGAACUGCUUGGUAUACUGGACGUCUUGAGCCAUCUAGGGGCAGCUGGAACGAACGGUGGAGCGGUGAAAUGCGUAGAUAUCGUUCGGAACGCCAAUGGUGAAAACAGGCUGCUGGGGAUGUGCUGACACUGAGACACGAAAGCCAGGGGAGCAAACGGG